Molecule: long non-coding RNA, 945 nt
Filed under: Equus caballus (horse)
Lineage: Eukaryota; Metazoa; Chordata; Mammalia; Perissodactyla; Equidae
Description: lncRNA (ENSECAG00000054369.1)
Source: RNAcentral
GGAAAAUGUGAGGUUGGCGUCACUUAGGGGAGGGAAUGAGUUAUAAGAAAAGAACAACUUGAUAGGGGAAAGCAGUGCAGGAAGCCUCAGCCCUCGGCCCUCAGCCCUCGGAAAGGGCGUCUGAAGAGUGCGGGAACGUCAAGAAUGAUGGGGAUUUCCGGGCAGAAUGCAGAGCAGAAGAGCCACAUGGAGCAUCAAAAAAUGAGAGGAGAGUGACCCAAAGCAUGGCUUGCCAAGCGGUGCCAUGUCUGACCCGGGAUUCGAACCGGCCAACCCCGGGCCGCCGAAGCAGAACAUGCGAACUUAACCACUGUGCCACCGGGCUGGCCCCAUCUACGGAUUUUGACAAAUGUAUAAUGACAUGUAUCCACCUUUACAGUUUGAUACAGAAUAGUCUCACUGCCCUAAAAUUCCUUUGUGCUCCAUCUAAAGUGGCUUUAAUAUAAAUUGAAAUAUAAAAUAAAUUCUAACUACAAGAAUUACAAUUCUUAUUCUAAUUAUAUUUCCCAUCUUUUAAAGUACAUACAAUUUCUGCUAAAGGAAUUGAGAAGGGAUUAUGUGGAUAAACGUCCCCUUGUUUCCACUGCUGACAGUUUCAACCUAAGAAAGCCAAGAACAGAUUCCACACUGUCACAGCCUUUAAAACACUCAUCCUCUUACUUCAACAAAUAUGUGCUCAAGGCAUCAGAAGUCCCCUGUUUGCAAGUGAUGACUAAGACAGCCAGAGUGAGAAAAAUAAUACAGAAAGAAACAGUUUGCAUAUUUUCUAUUUACACCUGGGAAAUAAGCAUUUAUUUUUAAAUUAAUUCUACUCCUGGGAAUUCUACCUAUGGGAAGGUUGCUAGAUUUAGCAAAUAAAAAUAUAGGAUGCCCAGUUAAAUCUGAAUUUCAGGUAUACAAUGAAUACGUUUUGAGAGUAAGUUCAUUCCUGGUGAUAUUUUGAGC